This 402-nucleotide ribosomal RNA is filed under the name bacterium. RNAcentral describes it as "partial 16S ribosomal RNA". It matches the Rfam family "Bacterial small subunit ribosomal RNA", at positions 355 to 776 of the family's 1533-position model. The record is from RNAcentral.
UGGGGAAUUUUGCACAAUGGGGGAAAACCUGAUGCAGCGACGCCGCGUGAUUUAGAAGGCCUUCGGGUUGUAAAAAUCUUUUCUAUGGGAAGAAAAUGACAGUACCAUAGGAAUAAGGACCGGCUAAUUACGUGCCAGCAGCCGCGGUAAUACGUAAGGUCCGAGCGUUGUCCGGAAUCAUUGGGCGUAAAGGGUACGUAGGCGGGUAAGCAAGUUAGAAGUGAAAUCCUAUAGCUUAACUAUAGUAAGCUUUUAAAACUGCUCAUCUUGAGGUAUGGAAGGGAAAGUGGAAUUCCUAGUGUAGCGGUGAAAUGCGCAGAUAUUAGGAGGAAUACCGGUGGCGAAGGCGACUUUCUGGCCAUAACCUGACGCUGAGGUACGAAAGCGUGGGUAGCAAACAGG